This is a small nuclear RNA of Cherax quadricarinatus, 160 nucleotides long. RefSeq annotates it as U1 spliceosomal RNA. Lineage: Eukaryota; Metazoa; Arthropoda; Malacostraca; Decapoda; Parastacidae. The record is from RefSeq and is a predicted model, not a curated record.
AUACUUACCUGGCACAGAAGACACUGCUAUCACUAAGGCAAUUCUCCCAGGCUGAGGCUCACCAUUGCACUAGGGUAGUGCUGACUCCUGUGAUUAACCCAACAGUAAUUAAUCAAGUGUUUAUUUUUUUUCUCGCUUUCAUCUGUAUUCCAUGGAACGC